GGCUCAGUGGUCUAGUGGUAUGAUUCCCGCUUUGGGAGCGGGAGGUCCCGGGUUCGAUCCCCGGCUGAGCCC
Molecule: non-coding RNA, 72 nt
Organism: Octopus sinensis (East Asian common octopus)
Lineage: Eukaryota; Metazoa; Mollusca; Cephalopoda; Octopoda; Octopodidae
Source: the annotation of a RefSeq genome assembly